GAAGAGCGCCGAGCGGCCUGGCUCCUCGUGCCCGGUGCCGCCUCGGUGCCGGGAGCCUUAGCGAGCGCCGUGCGCUCUUCCUGCACAGAAACUGCUUGUAAUUGGCAUCCAGUAAGUGAAACAGGCUCCGGGGCUGUGGGUCGGCAGGCCUGUGCUCGGGUAGGGCAGGACCGUGCGAUGUGCUGUCCUGCUUCCAGGAGCCGCGGAACGGCACGGCGUGCCCCUCGGCAAGCUCUGCUGGGGAGCGGGCUGCUCGGCUCUGCCUUGGGGCUGACCGCCCUCCAGCGCCUCGGACGGAGCCGGCCCAGCUCUCAGACUUGCCUCAAAUCACUGCUUAGGGAUACAGCGGGAAUUGUCAAACGGGGGUGCUUACAUGAUGGCAGACCAGCAAUCAGCAGUGACUUCCUGUGCUCUGGAGUUUUAAUGUCAGCACCUCUGGUUAUUUAUAGACAGCUGAGACUGCAGGCAAAAGAGUUCUCUAUAGAUGAUAAACCAAAAAUGAGGCAUAAGCUGUUAGUACUGCCCACAGAUGAGACUUCAGGAGGUAGUUUGUUGCUCCAUCUGAUACACAAGUUUGUUAAGAAACAGCACUUUAUAGGAAUAGGUUCCAUAUCUCCAUGGCAGCCCAGAAGAUUGACAGUAAUCAGGCAAUCCCUUGGGGAUUAAAGGAGAUUAUGUCUCAUACAGUCAGCGAGGACUUACUUAAGUCAGGUCCCUCAAAAGUGCCAGCCAUACACGAUCUGAUCCUUUACAGCUAUCUGCAGUUCUUGGUAUACUUUUAUUGCAGAACACAACAAAACCAAGAGAACUGGAUAAAGGAAUGGUUAAACCACAUCUGCCAUGGCGUGUGCAAUUCUUAGUCACCCCAUUCACAAAAUGAUAAGUUAAAACUGAAGCGAGUAUAGACGUGGUAAGAAGGGCAGUAAAGGAUACAGAACGCAUUCCAGAGACAGCACACGAAUGGGUGAGAGCUCUGGCAUAGAGAAGAGCCAGCUGAAGAUGGGAAGUUUAUGCAGCCAGAGGUGGCAUUCAGAAAUACCAACUAAAAUACAAGCCAUCACUGAAUGGAAGUAGUGAAUGAUGGGCUUAAGAAGACAAAAGCUUUUUAUUUUUUCCAGUUAAGCUUGAGAGCUCUGUCUGUGGAUGUCACAGGUUCCAGCGAUUCUUAAAGCUGGAUAAGACUUCUGUUGAAAAACACACCAGGGUGUUGCACGAGGUUUUCAAUACAAGGGACUUAUCUACCUUUUCCCCUCUCCUCUGGAGGUCCACCUGGAGCAUCCAUUUCCCUGGGGUCAGAGGUCCCUGGUCCAUCGUGCCAGGGACGUUUACGUGGUGGCAGUGAGGCCAUGUCCAUGCCCUGGAGCGAAGAAGAACGUUCUCGGUUAGCUGGAGAAUGUCCAUCGUGAGGAGGGUGGUCUGGACGAGGACCUGAUGGAUUCUGGCUUCCGCCCACCUUCAAAGCGUGGAAUUUCAUCGGGGGUAGGAAGCAGACCCUUCCGGCCUCCUGAGCAGCACGAGAUGCAGGGAGAGGAGUGAGAAGAGACAAUUGCAUUUGUGAAACUGUUGCCGUUUGCCCAAGAAACACCCUUGCUACCUUCUCCUUGUAUUUCACUGUGGAAGAAUGUUCCCCUCACCUCUAAUUGCACCACGACCUCGGCCCCGAGCACCAUGGUCCCUUCCUCUCAAGUUUUCAUCUGGGGAGUCAAAAGUGUCAUCUGGCCCAAAAUCUUCCGGACCAGGAAAGCCAUCUCUCCCCCUGGGUCCCCGGCCCUCGUGUCUCGAGGGUCCUCCUCUUCUGAAGCUACAAGAAAGAACACGUUACACCUUUAGACAAGGUUUACAUUGAUAAACUUGAGACAGUUGGUUAUUAAGCUGUUUUCUGAACCGUUUCACAUAACACUACAGUACAUACAGCUAUCAGAACAGGAUUUGUGGGUGGAAAAGUGCUCAAUGUCUGUCUCUGAGCGCUUUGUUUAGCUAUUUUGUAUAGUUUUUCCUCACUUCUUUCUGUUGUGUUGGUUUUGUUUUUUUUUUUUCCCAUACAGAAAAUACUGUCAAGUAUAUUUGCAUUCAUUUAACAAGGAAAAAAAAAUAAAAACAGUGAGAUAGAUAUAAGGCAAGGCAAGGAGAAGGACAAGUGAAUUUCUCUUAGUUGCAGUGCUCUUGCUUUAAGGGAUUACAAACGAAGCAGGAAAAAUAAAAGCAGUGAGAGUCAAGGCUGUAGUGAAACAUUUCAGCAUCACAUUCCUAUGGAUUCUGGAGUCUCUUGCUAGAACAUUCUCUUACUCAGUCCCUCCACAGAGGAUUUUUUAUUCUUUUUUUCUUUUUAAGUUUACAAUGUUGAGAAACGAUUCUAGGCUGCACUUGGCUCAGCAGGGAUGAUGACUGCUGAGCAGUGUGCACAGUGGCUUUCUACAACCUCACCAGCAGCUUAUCCAUCUGCAGUAAACGAAGAGCUCUGUUCUGCAAAACGUAGCAGUGCCCCUCACGUCAGUUAUUUCUACUCCUAGUCAGCACCAUGGCAUCUUCAGUAACUGGAUGCGAUUGGCUUUUGCAUCUCAUCUGAACUGAGUACAGCUCCUCCAGUAUCACACUGGGGUCUUAACACAGAUCUUCAGAGGGAAGAACGCUUCUGUCUUAGCUGUCAGUGCCAUUCCAGGUCUGUCUCCACCUCCCAGAAAACAAACACAAUACAGAGAGGAGGCUGCUGUGCCUGUACAGGUACAACAGUGGAUGGAGGGAGUGCUGCAUAUGGACAAUGAACCAUUUCACAUUAACCUGGGUGAUUUGUGAAAACAAACUCAGCAGUUUCAGGUACAAAUGGUUCAAAUAACCACAUUGCAAUGUUGUUUAGCCUUGAGACAGCACAGUCCUCUAGAUAUAUUCCUUAGAGGGUCUCCCAUUUUAAUACUGACUUGGUGAGAUUCUGCUUAGCUUGUAAAUUACCAAGAUUCGCAACACAAGAUCCUAUGGCUACCGGGAGGAGGACCCUUCUCUGUGUUUCCAGGCAACCUUACGGACAAAGUUCAGCUUUGAAAUCUAUCACACCUAUGCCUGAUACAGCCAUGGCUCCUAAUAUUGGGUUAUGUAUAUCCUUUUUCACUUUUUCUCAUCAGUCACACGUAAAACCCUGCCUCGCAUAGGGCUCAGUUCCUGUUUGACUGCUCUCAUCUUCUUCCUUGAGGCCUAGGACCUUAACGUACACAACUACACACUGUGCAGAUUAGCAGCAGGAAGAGGCAGGUCUCUGCAGUAGAAGCAUCAUGUUGAUAUGCACAGGUAGAGUGAGAACAGGACAGAGAUGAAAAGGAUGGGAAAUUAGAGAGAAACACACAUACACACACUUCCCUCUCACGUUUUUGACCAAACCAGUUACAAUCUAAAUUCCAAACCAAGUCAGCUAAACGAGCAGUCGGGAUUCUUAGGCUCACUUCAGCACCAGCAUGGCAACCAAUUCACCUUCACUCAGAGGAAAUCACUAAGUGCAAGCACAGCGAGCCUUUCAGAGCCCUGUGAUGAUUCUUCUCCAGCUAACCGCUCUGUACAAACACUUGCACUGUGACAGACCCUCGUUAGCUCACAAGUCAGAUUCCCAGGUCCUGAGAUGCCUGGACUCCCCUCCUAAAACCUCUGUAAAAUCAGAAUAAGAAUAAAAUAUUCCCCAAUCCCUAAACAUUCCCAAUAUAAGAUCUGAAAAUCUCUACUGAGCUUCUAAAAUCAUUGUCUGCUACGUCUGUUUCAGAGUUAUGGAAGGCAGACUAUUCCACUCGGAUUCUCUCUUUUAAACGGCUUUGUUACCUUCUUUUUGUUCAUUUCCUUUCAUACUCUUCACACAAAAGGAAGGUACAUCUUUACAGAGCUAGGUAGAAAAUAGCUAAAAGAAGAGCUGUACAGAUGCAAAGUAAAAGGAAUGUAAGAAAAUGAUUAAAAGGCAACUAAAACACACAAAAUUCACAUUAUGUGGAGACCACAAUAUAUUUGUACAAGUACACAUUUUUAUACAUAUGGAGUUGGUGGUCAGUGAGAGGUUUAGACCUUGGAGGCCAAAUUUAACUCUGUUAAGCUAGCAUAAAUCUGGAGCAAUUUCAGUGACAGGUCGUCUUGCCAACUUUGAGCAAUUCCUCCACGUUUACAUUAAUAACUAGAAGCAAAGUCAUCCCUUUGUGAUUGAUCUGGAAAUUGUGAGCAAUGAAGAGGACAUUGCUAUAAACUAGAUUAUUUUUGAGUUCUUUGCUUGGCAUUAAGAAAUAAGCCAGAAAAAGAAAUAAAAUUCCUACAAGCAAAAACAUGAGAAAAUAGUCUCGACAGUCCAACAGGCUGCAGAGCUCUGCCCCUUAUAUUUGAUAGUAGGAUCACUGUUCCUGCUCCUCACAAGUAUCUCACAGCUCGUUCUACAGUCUCCACAGUCAUCCUGCAGUUUGUGACUGGAGACAGAGUCUCAAAUUCCACUUCUAGUGUUCAAAAGUUUGCCAUUUUAACCUUCGAGUUUCCUCUCAAUUUUCGUCAAAACGAUCUCAAAUCUUCAUCCUGUGUCACUGGAUCUUCUCUACAAAUUUCCUCCCUUCUCUUUACUUACUGUUUACAGACACGGAAGCUGCUGUGUACAAUGACCAUUUUUCAAGUUUUCUUCUAUUACUGAAUGAUUUUAUGGACUCUAUACUCAGGUAUAUUAGAGUUUUCAUUUCCUUAUUGGUUUCCAGUUUAUAAAUCUGAAACAGAUAGACUCCUUAAUGACAAGGAAACCAGGAAGAAAGAAUUCCCUCCGUUCACCCUUUACCCAAGAAGAACGAAUCGAUUUAUUCUUACCUCUCGUCUCGUCUUCCUCGGAACCGUGCAUCCUCAGGAUCCCGUGGAUAUCUAUCAUCUGAAGGUCUCCGUCCUUCCCAAGCACCAGGAGGGCCACGAUUUGAACCCCCGCCUUCAAAUUCCCUGUGAUCGGGAGGAAAGGGAGGCCCAGGUCCACCUCGUCUCCAUUUCUCAUCUUGCAAUGGUGGGCCUCCUCUCCCCUCAAAUUCCCGCAAUCGAUGGCCAAAUCUCUUAUCUGGAUGGAAGUCGUCCCGGAAGUCAUCUGGUCGAUCAAAGUCAUCAUGGAAAUCUGGGUGAGGUCCUCGUCUAUCUGGCAUGCCCCUGCUGUCUCUACCAUCACCCCACUCCUGGCCACCUCGAAACAACCCUCUCUCAGGCCCAUGAUCAGGGCCACCACUGUUCUGGUCGUGCCUUCUAUCUGAGAGAGGGCCCAUGUGGUGGUUUGGUGGACCACGGGAGUCACCUUGAGGGAAAAAACCAUAGCAGAUUUCUGUAAUUUUUCCUAAAAAAUGCUCUAGGACGUUUUAGUUUCUACAGUUCUACAAAGCAUACACCAUACAUUUCACAUUAAGGAAUUCUGGGGGGAAAAGCUUUUCUUCUGUAUUCCAGCCCAAGUCUACUGUAGCUUCCCUCUCAAUCCGGACCCUUCGUUGUGCUGUAGCCUUUUCUAUCUAGAGGGUCUGCACUGGAACAGCAUCUUUUUGGAGAACUACUCACAGAAGAACGGACAGUGCAUUUAAUUACCUUUAUUAAGGCCAGGUCCUUGGUUGUGGGGGCCGAGACGACCUUGUCCUCCCUGCUGCCCCAGUCCUGGUAUCAGUGGUGGAGGACCUGGGUUCUGUCCGUCCUGUUAGUGUACAGUAAGAAAAGCCAUGUGAAUUAGCAUGCGUGAGUAUUCUUGCUUCUGAGCCUUUUGUAAGGCAGCAAACCAAAUUCCUUUAUUGGGACAGUGCAUCUUCACAGCCCUUAUGACAGCAGCAGCUGAUUUUCGAUUAGUUUCAGCCUGAUUUUUUUCACAUUCACAUCAGUGACGCUUUUGUUUCCUGAGGAUCAUACACAAUUAUCUAGAAAACUUAUGACUAAUCUUUUAUCCGUAACGACCAAAAGAUAAUAAAGCUCCUGUUUUCUAUGCCUGUUAGAGAAGGCGAGAGAACUGCAUGCAUUUGUUGAGAAAGCACCAGGUGCUGAUGUGUAUGCUGCAGAUACAGACCCAGGAAGGAUCGCAGCAGGUACCAGGUUACCCCAUGCCUCCUCUGACCACGUGGGUUUUUUUCAUACUCUGUAUCUACUUUCUGUGAAAGACCAUCUUUUAUUAUUAAUUAUUUUAGAGAGAGGGUUGAGGAGCAACACUGAGAGUUCAUUUGAGCAGUUUUUCCUGUUGCAUCUCGAAAUACUGGUUUUAAAUUAUACUUUUGUAUUGAACUGCAACGGAGGUAAUAAUCACAAAAAAACACAUAAACAGGUACUACAAACAGCACCUUUGCACUGAAUGUUUUUGUAAAAUUUUUGGGAAAAUAAAAGCAGAAUAGAAGGCCUGGUUCCAGUGCUUGUUACAAGAGAAAAAAGCACACGAACCUCUUUGAGUGGUUGAAUGGUGAGCUGAGUCAGAAGAAUAGCUGUCCAGGAAGGACAAAGCUGUCACCAUCCCUGAACAAAGCCUUGCUGGAGCUCCACCACUUCUCAUGUAUUUAAUGCAAGAUUACUUACAAUAAACUGUUGAACUUCUUAAGUUUAUGUCACUGCUGUUCAACCAGAGCAGCAGCUUUUAGUGCCCACCUCAUGAGGUCAAUCACUGUUUGCCAAAGCCCUCUAUUUCCAAACAAAUACUCCGACAAGUUAGGAAGACAGAGCCGUCAUAGUGCAUUUUUAUAUGCCUUUCAUUUCAAAAUACACCAUGGGCCCAAAUGGGCUCCUAGCAGACAGAGUGAACUGCAGAGCACA
This is a long non-coding RNA of Centrocercus urophasianus (Greater sage-grouse), 6747 nucleotides long. RefSeq lists it as uncharacterized. The transcript has 5 exons. Lineage: Eukaryota; Metazoa; Chordata; Aves; Galliformes; Phasianidae. The record is from RefSeq and is a predicted model, not a curated record.